UUUAAUGCAGGGGAGAAAGAGUUCAUGCAUUUUACUGUUGUCCAUCCCAUACGUAACUAAACGUAAAUUUAAGUUCAUUAGUUUUAAAUAUUAUUUGUCAGGCUUAAUCGAAUUUCCGUUUUGCUUCACAGUCUAUAAACUCCCAGGGUCAUCGCAGCAUGUGUAACAGCAGCGUCUCCUGCAGUGCCAUACCUUACUGAGGAUUCUCAAAAAAGUGAUUCUGAGAGUUGUGACCCCUAUACCAUGAGGAAGAGCUUUGAUUACACCUGAAAACCUGGUACUGUGUCUUGGAAUCUAACAGGAUAAAAAAGAGCAAACUAUAGGGCACUUCAUUAAUCUCCAAAUACCAGGGUUCCUGCCCAUGCAGCAUCAGCUGAAGAGCCCAAGGAGGCACAGAAAUUGAGGAAAACUAUAUUCUUUGCUCUGCCACUGACCCUGGUCAUAAGAAUGAGACAGCCCCAGAGAGCAUGAAAAUCUCCAUACAUGAUCUCAUCCAGCGAUAGUGACUUGAAUGUUUAUGGAUGUGUUUUUAGCAUGGACACACCCAUUCUCGUUUGCAGCAGUCUCUCCAAUCUCAAUUAUUCACACCCAGUGUUUCUGCAUCAAUUUUGUUUCCUUCCUGGACACAGUAAGUCUUACAGCCAUUGACUCCUGUACCAGAUUCUGGCCUUCAGGGCAUAUGGCAUUUGGCAGCUCCUAAGGAACAGCUGCCCCUCAACAGUGCCAGGGAAUGUGGCAUAUAUGGUGAAAACAAGACACUGAAGCCAUGCUGCUCCCAAACAUGUUGUAGGUUGUUACAAUACCACCCUUCUCAAGGUGAUGUCUGGACCCUCGAAUAACUGAAAUCUAGACAAAAUCAGGCCCACAAAGCCCUGAAUUCUCACCCAAGCUUUUGUCAGCAAUGGAAAUUAACACCAAGAUUGGACUGAGAACUGUUCUCUGUCAACCUGUUCUAUUUGAGGCACACAGUAGGGAGCCCACCACAAACAGUUUACCUCUUCAGUUUGGCAGAGUCUAACGGUUUCUAAACCACUCCAGACACUAAAAAGAACCUCAGAGAUUAAAGGUGGCUUAAAUAAUAAGGUAUUUAUUACCACACAAACCAGCGCAACAUGAGUCAAGUAGUUAUCCAGCCUGGGUGACUUGGAGGCUGGAAAAAUUCAUCACAAGUAUCACAUGAGACCAACAAUGUCCAUGAAUAAAGUAAACCUUUUCUGCUACCAGAGCACAGCUUAGAUCAUCUUGGCUAAAGGUGGAUCAUGUCCAUACCUUUUCCGGUCAGAGGUAAGCAAAUGAGGACCACCAUUUAAUUCAGAUUUCUUAUAAUUUCCUCCAGGGAUUGAAGAGAGCAUGAAGUUCUGCCUCCCCUAAAAAUAUUAGGGUAACCUGGUUGAGUUGAGAUGGUUUCAGCCACAGGCACUAACAAAUUUGGCAAGGAACCUGAGCAGGUCUGAAAGUGCAACAUAGCUUCUGAAAGCUUUCCCUGCACCUGGCAUUCAUAAAAUACUCCCCAGUAUUAAUGUCCAGAUAUAUGUGGUUUGACACAUGGUUGAUGUCUCCCUCUCUAAAGGCAGACACAGAGCUCCUCCCCAUGAGUUCUGUUGUGUUGGACGCACUCCUACAGCCUUCCGGCAGUGUGAACUUUCUGGUGCCUAAUGAGAUGGGAGCUUAAGCUAUACGAUUUCCCACAUUCAUUGCAUUCAUAUGGCCUUUCUCCAGUGUGAACUUUUUGGUGCCGAACAAGGUGGGAGGUUCUGAUGAAAUCUUUCCCACAUUUGCUGCACACAAAAGGCCUUUCACCUGUGUGAACUCUCUGGUGUGCAAUAAAGUCAGAGCUUCGACUAAAGAAUUUCCCACAUUCAGUGCACUCAAAAGGCCUUGCCUCCGUAUGAAUUCUCUGGUGUUUAAUAAGGGUAUAUUUGUGGCCAAAGGAUUUCCCACAUUCACUGCAAACAUAAGGAUUUUCUCCAGUGUGGAUACUCUCAUGCUGAACAAGUGUGGAUUUGUGUCUGAAGACUUUCCCACAAUCGUGGCACUUAUAAGGCCUUGCUCCAUUGUGAACUCUCUGGUGUACAAUUAGGUUGGAGUGAUGGCUGAAGUAUUUGCCACAUUCGCCACACUUAUAAGGCAUUUCUCCAGUGUGAAUUCUUUUGUGCUGAGUAAGGUUGUCCUUGCGGCUAAAGGCUUUUCCACAUUCACUGCACUCAUAAGGCCUUUCUCCUGUGUGGAUUCUCUGGUGCUGGACAAGUGUGGCUUUGCGGCUGAAUGCUUUCCCACAUUCAUUGCACUCAUAAGGCUUUUCUCCAGUAUGGAUUCUCUGGUGCUGGACAAGUGUA
This is a long non-coding RNA of Orcinus orca (killer whale), 2336 nucleotides long. RefSeq lists it as uncharacterized. NCBI's taxonomy places the organism in Eukaryota, Metazoa, Chordata, Mammalia, Artiodactyla, Delphinidae. The record is from RefSeq and is a predicted model, not a curated record. The transcript has 2 exons.